RNAcentral lists this ribosomal RNA (119 nucleotides) under Escherichia coli. Its description in RNAcentral is "partial 23S ribosomal RNA". The stretch from base 1 to 102 matches the Rfam family "Bacterial large subunit ribosomal RNA", at positions 2824 to 2925 of the family's 2925-position model. Lineage: Bacteria; Pseudomonadati; Pseudomonadota; Gammaproteobacteria; Enterobacterales; Enterobacteriaceae. The record is from RNAcentral.
GUCCUGAAGGAACGUUGAAGACGACGACGUUGAUAGGCCGGGUGUGUAAGCGCAGCGAUGCGUUGAGCUAACCGGUACUAAUGAACCGUGAGGCUUAACCUUACAACGCCGAAGSUGUU